Molecule: ribosomal RNA, 477 nt
Filed under: Candidatus Scalindua brodae
Lineage: Bacteria; Pseudomonadati; Planctomycetota; Candidatus Brocadiia; Candidatus Brocadiales; Candidatus Scalinduaceae
Also listed under: 1 other name
Description: bacterial SSU rRNA
Rfam family: Bacterial small subunit ribosomal RNA
Source: RNAcentral
UUCGCAAUGCCCGAAAGGGUGACGAAGCGACGCCGCGUGGGUGAGGAAGGCCUUCGGGUUGUAAAGCCCUGUCAGGAGUUAAGAAAUGUAAGUGUGCUAAUAUCGCAUUUACUUGACGAAGGCUCCAAAGGAAGUCACGGCUAACUCUGUGCCAGCAGCCGCGGUAAUACAGAGGUGGCAAGCGUUGUUCGGAAUUAUUGGGCGUAAGGAGCACGUAGGUGGGUUUGUAAGUCAGAUGUGAAAGCCUCCUGUUCAACGGGAGAAUUGCAUCUGAAACUACUGAUCUUGAGUAUAGGAGGGGAGAAUGGAACUUCUGGUGGAGCGGUGAAAUGCGUAGAUAUCAGAAGGAACGCCGGCGGCGAAAGCGAUUCUCUGGCCUAUUACUGACACUCAGUGCGCGAAAGCUAGGGGAGCAAACGGGAUUAGAUACCCCGGUAGUCCUAGCCGUAAACGAUGGGCACUAAGUAGAGGGGUUUU